Molecule: ribosomal RNA, 494 nt
Filed under: uncultured bacterium
Lineage: Bacteria
Description: partial 16S ribosomal RNA
Rfam family: Bacterial small subunit ribosomal RNA
Source: RNAcentral
GACGAACGCUGGCGGCGUGCUUAACACAUGCAAGUCGAACGGUGAAGCGCCCUCCUUUUUGGCGGGUGUGGACGAGUGGCGAACUGGUGAGUAACACGUUAGUAACCUGCCCCCUUUUUCUGGAUAACAGCAUGAAAGUGAGGCUAAUACGGGUUAUUCUGGAUCUGUGGCAUGAUGGGUCUGGGAAAGAUUGUGUUUCGGUGGGGGAUGGUCUCGCGGCCUAUCAGCUAGUUGGUGGGGUGAUGGCCUACGUUGGCGGUGACGGGUAGCCGGCCUGGGAGGGUGGGCGGUCAGAGGGGGACUAAGACGCGGAGAAGACUCCGACAGGAGGCAGCGGGGAAUGAUAGUCAACGGUGGGAACAAUCCUGAAGCAGCGACGCGGCGGGAGCGAUGGCGGCCGUCGGGUAGUGAACCUCUUUCGGGAGUGAAGCGGUCCUGCCUAGUAUGUGGGGGGAUUGACGGUAGCUGGAUAAGAAGCGCCGGCUAACUACGUG